RNAcentral lists this ribosomal RNA (520 nucleotides) under Xanthochorema caledon. Its description in RNAcentral is "partial 16S ribosomal RNA". The stretch from base 397 to 520 matches the Rfam family "Bacterial large subunit ribosomal RNA", at positions 2473 to 2597 of the family's 2925-position model. Lineage: Eukaryota; Metazoa; Arthropoda; Insecta; Trichoptera; Hydrobiosidae. The record is from RNAcentral.
GUCUUUUUGAAUAAUAUUUAUUUAAAGUCUAAUCUGCUCACUGAAUUAAAAUUUAAAGAGCCGCAGUAUUUUAACUGUGCAAAGGUAGCAUAAUAAUUUGUUUUUUAAUUGAAAACUAGAAUGAAUGAUUGAACGAGAUAUAUACUGUCUCAAUUUUAAUUUAAUAUAAAUUAAUUUUUUAGUUAAAAAGCUAAAAUUGAUUUAAAAGACGAGAAGACCCUAUAGAUUUUUAUAUAAUUAUCAAUUAAUUUAUAUAUAUAUAAAUUUAUUUAUAUUUAUUGAUAAUUGUAUUUUAUUGGGGUAAUAAAAAAAUAAAAAAAACUUUUAUUAAAUAAAAACAUAAAUUAAUGAAAAUUUGAUCCAAAUUUAAUGAUUAAAAGAUUAAAUUACCUUAGGGAUAACAGCGUAAUUUUAAUUUUAAGUUCUUAUUGAAAUUAAAGAUUGCGACCUCGAUGUUGGAUUAAGAAAAAAUUUAAAAGUAGAUUUUUAAAUUUUAGGUCUGUUCGACCUUUAAAAUCUU